This is a long non-coding RNA of Panicum virgatum (switchgrass), 806 nucleotides long. RefSeq lists it as uncharacterized. The transcript has 2 exons. The record is from RefSeq and is a predicted model, not a curated record. NCBI's taxonomy places the organism in Eukaryota, Viridiplantae, Streptophyta, Magnoliopsida, Poales, Poaceae.
AUAUGAUUGGAGGGUUGCGUGGAAUGUUUGAGAACCAAGCUAGGGUUGAGAGGUACAACAUCUCAAAAUCCUUGUUCUCGUGCAAGCUAGCAGAAGGUAGCCCGGUCAAUCCUCAUGUGAUCAAAAUGAUUGAUUACAUUGAGACUUUGGACAGACUUGGCUCUGAGCUCCAUGAUGAUCUUGCUGUUGACGUCAUUCUCCAGUCGCUCCCGCCGAGCUACGAGCCCUUCAUUAUGAAUUUUCAAAAGAAUGGUAUGGAGAAAUCGUUGUCUGAAUUACAUGGCAUGCUUAAAACCGCAGAAGAAAGCAUCAAGAAAAGUACCAAUCAUGUGAUGGUGGUACGAAAGGAGAACAAAAAGAGGAAGUGUUGGACGCCUCCCAAAGGCAAGGGCAAGGGCAAGGAAAAGGUUUCCAAAGAUCCCCAGGGCUCUAAGAUUAAGGCCAAAUCUGGCCCUUCUCCUAAUGAUGAAUGCUUCCACUGCAAGGGCAAGGGACACUAGUCAAGAAACUGCAAGAAAUACUUGGAGGAUCUGAAAAAGAAGAAGGGAAGUGAGACUUCCGCUUCAGGGCCUUCAAAGGACUAGAAGAUUUGCAAGAGGCGAGUUGGAUGUUCGUGUCGGCAAUGGAGCAAAGGUUGCAGUCAUGGCGGUCGGUACUUAUCACUUGUCGUUACCCUCAGGCUUAGUUUUGGAAUUAAAUAAUUGUUAUUGCAUUCCUGCUUUGAGUAAGAACAUUAUCUCUUCUUCAUGUUUGGAGGAAGUUGAUGGUUAUGAGAUUGUAAUAAAGAACAAGCGUUGUUCCAUUUA